RNAcentral lists this transfer-messenger RNA (307 nucleotides) under Polaribacter sp. RNAcentral's name for it is "partial transfer-messenger RNA". It matches the Rfam family "transfer-messenger RNA". Rfam says of the family: Bacterial tmRNA, also known as 10Sa RNA or SsrA, is named for its dual tRNA and mRNA-like properties. Its role is to liberate the mRNA from a stalled ribosome. Lineage: Bacteria; Pseudomonadati; Bacteroidota; Flavobacteriia; Flavobacteriales; Flavobacteriaceae. The record is from RNAcentral.
GGGGACGACUGGUUUUGACAGCAAGGACAGUGGAUUAGUAAGCAUACCAAGGCAUGAAAUAAUACUUGUAAAACUGAUUUCAACUUUUUAAACGGCGAAGAUAACUACGCUUUAGCUGCAUAAUCCGAAUUAUAGUAGGAUUAGCCUAGUCCCGCAAGGCGGGAAAGCUUUAUGUCCACGAAAAGCCCUGAUUUACGGCGUUUCACUUUUGGGCAUCGUAAAAGUAAAUAUAGAAAACCUGGAACUUUGACGGGUUUUUGAAACUAAAGAAGGUAAGCUAAAAAUGGAUUGUUCUUAAUCAGCUUUU